GACGAACGCUGGCGGCGUGCUUAACACAUGCAAGUCGAACGGAAAGGCCCUGCUUUUGUGGGGUGCUCGAGUGGCGAACGGGUGAGUAACACGUGAGUAACCUGCCCUUGACUUUGGGAUAACUUCAGGAAACUGGGGCUAAUACCGGAUAGGAGCUCCUGCUGCAUGGUGGGGGUUGGAAAGUUUCGGCGGUUGGGGAUGGACUCGCGGCUUAUCAGCUUGUUGGUGGGGUAGUGGCUUACCAAGGCUUUGACGGGUAGCCGGCCUGAGAGGGUGACCGGCCACAUUGGGACUGAGAUACGGCCCAGACUCCUACGGGAGGCAGCAGUGGGGAAUAUUGCACAAUGGGCGGAAGCCUGAUGCAGCAACGCCGCGGGCGGGAGGACGGCCUUCGGGUUGUAAACCGCUUUCGCCUGUGACGAAGCGUGAGUGACGGUAAUGGGUAAAGAAGCACCGGCUAACUAUGUG
RNAcentral lists this ribosomal RNA (468 nucleotides) under uncultured bacterium. RNAcentral describes it as "partial 16S ribosomal RNA". It matches the Rfam family "Bacterial small subunit ribosomal RNA", at positions 28 to 507 of the family's 1533-position model. The record is from RNAcentral.